This 253-nucleotide ribosomal RNA is filed under the name uncultured bacterium. Its description in RNAcentral is "partial 16S ribosomal RNA". It matches the Rfam family "Bacterial small subunit ribosomal RNA", at positions 524 to 776 of the family's 1533-position model. The record is from RNAcentral.
UACGUAGGGCGCAAGCGUUGUCCGGAUUUAUUGGGCGUAAAGAGCUCGUAGGCGGUCUGUCGCGUCGGCUGUGAAACCCCGAGGCUCAACCUCGGGCCUGCAGUCGAUACGGGCAGACUAGAGUGUGGUAGGGGAGACUGGAAUUCCUGGUGUAGCGGUGAAAUGCGCAGAUAUCAGGAGGAACACCGGUGGCGAAGGCGGGUCUCUGGGCCGUUACUGACGCUGAGGAGCGAAAGCGUGGGGAGCGAACAGG